AGAACUUUCCAGAGAUGGAUUGGUGCCUUCGGGAACUCUGAGACAGGUGCUGCAUGGCUGUCGUCAGCUCGUGUUGUGAAAUGUUGGGUUAAGUCCCGCAACGAGCGCAACCCUUUAUCCUUUGUUGCCAGCGGUUAGGCCGGGAACUCAAAGGAGACUGCCAGUGAUAAACUGGAGGAAGGUGGGGAUGACGUCAAGUCAUCAUGGCCCUUACGAGUAGGGCUACACACGUGCUACAAUGGCGCAUACAAAGAGAAGCGACCUCGCGAGAGCAAGCGGACCUCAUAAAGUGCGUCGUAGUCCGGAUUGGAGUCUGCAACUCGACUCCAUGAAGUCGGAAUCGCUAGUAAUCGUGGAUCAGAAUGCCACGGUGAAUACGUUCCCGGGCCCUGUACACACCGCCCGUCACACCAUGGGAGUGGGUUGCAAAAGAAGUAGGUAGCUUAACCUUCGGGAGGGCGCUUACCACUUUGUGAUUCAUGACUGGGGUGAAGUCGUAACAAGGUAAGCGUAGUGCU
Molecule: ribosomal RNA, 518 nt
Filed under: uncultured bacterium
Lineage: Bacteria
Description: bacterial SSU rRNA
Rfam family: Bacterial small subunit ribosomal RNA
Source: RNAcentral